UGCUCGACCAUAAACCCCGAUUUGAAACCACCAGCACAUCAAACUCCGCCAGAGAACUACAGGCACUUAGCCAGAAACUCCAAGGACUUGACGGUGUCCUAACACCCUAGAGGAGCCUGUCCCACAAUCGAUACUCCACGCUUGACCUCACCCCCUCUCGCACAGUCCAACCUGUAUACCUCCGUCGAAAGCCCACCUUGUGAAAGAAACCCCGUGGGCAAAAUAGCACCAUCCCUAGUACGUCAGGUCAAGGUGCAGUCAAUGGGGGGGGCCGCGAUGGGCUACACUCUUUAAAUUAAAGCCCCGAAAGUGCGCCAUGAAACACGCCCCAAAGAAGGAUUUAGCAGUAAACUUAACAAGAAUGUUAGCUUGAAGCCGCGCCCUAGGACGCGUACAC
Molecule: ribosomal RNA, 397 nt
Filed under: Gonatodes falconensis
Lineage: Eukaryota; Metazoa; Chordata; Lepidosauria; Squamata; Sphaerodactylidae
Description: partial 12S ribosomal RNA
Rfam family: Bacterial small subunit ribosomal RNA (bases 52-397)
Source: RNAcentral